GUAGGUGGCAAGCGUUGUCCGGAAUUAUUGGGCGUAAAGCGCGCGCAGGCGGUUCGUUUAAGUCUGAUGUGAAAGCCCACGGGCUCAACCGUGGAGGGUCAUUGGAAACUGGAGAACUUGAGUACAGAAGAGGAAAGCGGAAUUCCACGUGUAGCGGUGAAACGCGUAGAGAUGUGGAGGAACACCAGUGGCGAAGGCGGCUUUCUGGUCUGUAACUGACGCUGAGGCGCGAAAGCGUGGGGAGCAAACAGGAUUAGAUACCCUGGUAGUCCACGCCGUAAACGAUGAGUGCUAAGUGUUAGGGGGUUUCCGCCCCUUAGUGCUGCAGCUAACGCAUUAAGCACUCCGCCUGGGGAGUACGGCCGCAAAGGCUG
Molecule: ribosomal RNA, 374 nt
Filed under: uncultured organism
Description: partial 16S ribosomal RNA
Rfam family: Bacterial small subunit ribosomal RNA
Source: RNAcentral